GGGCCGGUAGCUCAGCCUGGGAGAGCUUCUAGGCCCCAUAAGCGUCCGCCUUGCACGCGGGAGGUCGCGGGUUCAAAUCCCGCCCGGUCCA
RNAcentral lists this transfer RNA (91 nucleotides) under Nitrososphaeria archaeon. Its description in RNAcentral is "tRNA-Ala". It matches the Rfam family "tRNA". Rfam says of the family: Transfer RNA (tRNA) molecules are approximately 80 nucleotides in length. Their secondary structure includes four short double-helical elements and three loops (D, anti-codon, and T loops). The record is from RNAcentral. Lineage: Archaea; Thermoproteati; Nitrososphaerota; Nitrososphaeria.